AUGUCCUUGUGUUAUUUGCUGAUUGUUUUUGUACCAAGAUCAGUGAUUGUCAAAAAGGACACAUAGUAAAACCAAUGACUCGUUACUGUUUGAAAGCGGCCAAUUUAAAGCCAUUUAAACAUUUCCAUACAUUGGUUACAUUC
Molecule: non-coding RNA, 143 nt
Organism: Stomoxys calcitrans (stable fly)
Lineage: Eukaryota; Metazoa; Arthropoda; Insecta; Diptera; Muscidae
Source: Rfam